Molecule: transfer RNA, 73 nt
Filed under: Oscillatoriaceae cyanobacterium M7585_C2015_266
Lineage: Bacteria; Bacillati; Cyanobacteriota; Cyanophyceae; Oscillatoriales; Oscillatoriaceae
Also listed under: 4 other names
Rfam family: tRNA
About the family: Transfer RNA (tRNA) molecules are approximately 80 nucleotides in length. Their secondary structure includes four short double-helical elements and three loops (D, anti-codon, and T loops).
Source: Rfam by way of RNAcentral
CGGCGGUUGGCCGAGCGGUUGAGGCAGCGAACUCAUAAUUCGCCAUAGGCAGGUUCGACUCCUGCACUGCCGA